The sequence is a ribosomal RNA, 659 nucleotides long. The stretch from base 229 to 382 matches the Rfam family "5.8S ribosomal RNA".
AAGAUCCUCCGUCUGCCGAGGUCUCGGAGACAUACGAGUUCUUGACGGGUUGUAGCUGGCUCUUUUUUUAAGAGCAUGUGCACGCCUGGCUCAAUUCCACUCCUUAACCUCUGUGCACUUAUUGUAGGUCGGUGGAGGCUGGCGCAAGUCAGUUUGAAGCCUUCCUAUGUUUUAUUACAAACGUAUCAGUUAUAGAAUGUCUUACUUUGCUAUAAUGCAAUUAUAUACAACUUUCAGCAACGGAUCUCUUGGCUCUCGCAUCGAUGAAGAACGCAGCGAAAUGCGAUAAGUAAUGUGAAUUGCAGAAUUCAGUGAAUCAUCGAAUCUUUGAACGCACCUUGCACCCCUUGGUAUUCCGAGGGGUAUGCCUGUUUGAGUGUCAUGGUAUUCUCAACCCCCAAAUUCUUUAUUGAGUCUUGGUGGGCUUGGACUUGGAGGUUGUGCUGGAUUUUUAUUAAUUCAGCUCCUCUGAAAUGUAUUAGUGUGAAUCUUACGGAUCGCCUUCAGUGUGAUAAUUGUCUACGCUGUGGUUGUGAAGUAUAUUUGUAUUCAUGCUUCUAAUCGUCUCUUAAUGAGACAAUUACAUCUUUGACAUCUGACCUCAAAUCAGGUAGGACUACCCGCUGAACUUAAGCAUAUCAAUAAAGCGGAGGAAAAAA